Molecule: long non-coding RNA, 617 nt
Organism: Megalobrama amblycephala (Wuchang bream)
Lineage: Eukaryota; Metazoa; Chordata; Actinopteri; Cypriniformes; Xenocyprididae
Exons: 3
Source: RefSeq, a predicted model, not a curated record
UGUAAAAAAUGAUUCUGGGUUUUAGUCAAGUGGACAAAUAAAAUCAUGUCCUGUCAACUUGCAGUGUCUCACAACACAAUAGGAUGAGUUAUAUCAACCUCAACUUGAAGGGAAAUUGAAAACUUUAAAUAACGUGUUCAUAUAACAACAAAACAUAAGUUCUGUCAAGUUUCUUUCAAAUGCGCAUGUGCCAGAAACUCUACGUCACGAUGACGUACUAUUUUAUCGAAUUUGAGACAGACGCGCCAUCCGCCAUUUUCUGCACGAGAAGCUGCUGCUGAUCACGCAAGAAAAGAUGAUGAAGGAGCCCGCGUUUGAACGACUACAGAAUAAAGAUGGACUUUAUGGACCGCAAAUAAUGAAAUGAGAUCAGUACAGUGGAAGCACAACUCCAUAUCGAUGAGGUGGUGUUGCAAGAUUUGUAGACACCAAAAACCUUCUUGCUUUACUAAGAGAACAUUCAAAAAGUUUGAGUUGAUCCUGUUCCAGAUUCUAUUGACGGCCUCAAGCUUGAACCUAAAAGCAGGCUCCAGCUGAAAGACACUUUUGACCUUCAAUAAGAAGAUGAAGACUUCCAUGAUUUCUGUAACCUUACAUGUGUAGCUGAUCUGUCCAAA